Molecule: long non-coding RNA, 1413 nt
Organism: Entelurus aequoreus (snake pipefish)
Lineage: Eukaryota; Metazoa; Chordata; Actinopteri; Syngnathiformes; Syngnathidae
Exons: 8
Source: RefSeq, a predicted model, not a curated record
GGAGCCCCAUCCAUCUAUCACACGUGUAGACAAAGGGGGGGACUCCACAACACUAAGCUGCGUGGGUCCUUCCAAACUUUACUUCUCCUCCUCCAAGACGCGCGGAGCAGAGCACCAUCAAUAAAAGUUGCCGCUCUUGUUGGUGCGUCAGCGCUCAAAGUUGAGCACAAAGCAGCAGAGGUAGAGCGACAUAGAGAGAGAGAGAGAGAGAGAGAGAGAGAGAGGUAGAGAGAGAGAGAGAGGAGCGGUCCUCUUUUCCUUUGUCCGAUGCUCUGUCUCAAGCUUUUUUGGGAGACGACUUGAAAGGAUUUCGUCAUGACCAUCAAAAACUGGACUACAAAGAGGAAUGUUUUCCAAAUUUUGGGGAGAACGACGGAGGAACAAACUCCAGAGUCCUAUUUGAAGAAGCUUUAAGGAUUAAGAGACAGAACACUUUUAUUUUGGAUAAGCUGAAGAACUCAUACGGAUUCAAACCUAAGCACCAGGAGCAGCUUUGCCUAGAGGGAUGCUUUCAAGGCAUACUUGGAAAUGUAGGCAACAAAAAAAAAACCUGGAUAUACUUUGGAGAUUAAAGGAAUGUGAUGGUCUCCUUCUGCACUUCGGCUUAAACUCACUGAGAUGGCAGACUAUUGCAUUUCCGUCCUUCAUAAUAGGUGCAUGUCUUUGGAGGUGGAAGGAAGCCGGAGAACCCACGCAGUCACGGGGAGAACAUGCAAACUCCACGCAGAAAGAUCCCGAGUGCAGGAUCGAACCCAGGACCUUCGUAUUGUGAGGCAGACGCAUUAACCCCUGUACCACCGGGCUGCCCCAAUAUAGGUUGCCAAUUGAUCCACGGACCGGUACCGGGCCGCAGCCCGGUGGUUGGGGACCACUGCACUAGAAGACUGCUUGUAAAAUGCCCUUAAAAAGUGGUAGAUGUCUCCUGCUUGUUUGAAAACAGCAAAACGCCACAGGGACCGUGGGAGUGCUGAGGUGUAAGGGAUCAUGACCUUAAUUUUCUCCAAGACAGACGUUUAAUUAACACAAGAGGAAUCUUCGCCGGCUGCAGACCGACAAUUGGAAUGUUCAGGGGAAUUAAGACAUGUGAGCAGGAGGGCAUGAGAAGAGAAGCAAUAAUAGCAGACGGGGUGGAGGCUGGCCGACAGGAGAUACCACAAUGUCCAAAUAAGCAGAAACGCACCAGAUCUUUGGAGGAUGUUUACUAAGCUGACACAUUAUGGCUCAACCAUUUCAUUUUCUACCUGAAACAUCCACGGUGCAGGAAGGAACAAUACCACAACUGCAGUACUUACUGUGACACUAUGUGGGACAACAGCAAGUCAUAUUUUGUGACAUUAUCAAAGACUAAAAACAGUUUAAAAAAAAUACCAUCCUGUACACUGUUAUUAUUCAGAAAAAACGGUUUAAAUGGAC